UACGUAGGGUGCAAGCGUUGUCCGGAAUUAUUGGGCGUAAAGAGCUCGUAGGCGGUUUGUCGCGUCUGCUGUGAAAAUCCAGGGCUUAACCCUGGACCUGCAGUGGGUACGGGCAGACUGGAGUGUGGUAGGGGAGAUCGGAAUUCCUGGUGUAGCGGUGAAAUGCGCAGAUAUCAGGAGGAACACCGGUGGCGAAGGCGGAUCUCUGGGCCGUAACUGACGCUGAGGAGCGAAAGCAUGGGGAGCGAACAGG
Molecule: ribosomal RNA, 253 nt
Filed under: uncultured bacterium
Lineage: Bacteria
Description: partial 16S ribosomal RNA
Rfam family: Bacterial small subunit ribosomal RNA
Source: RNAcentral